RNAcentral lists this ribosomal RNA (812 nucleotides) under bacterium. RNAcentral describes it as "bacterial SSU rRNA". It matches the Rfam family "Bacterial small subunit ribosomal RNA", at positions 668 to 1477 of the family's 1533-position model. The record is from RNAcentral.
UCCUGGUGUAGCGGUGGAAUGCGCAGAUAUCAGGAGGAACACCGAUGGCGAAGGCAGAUCUCUGGGCCGUAACUGACGCUGAGGAGCGAAAGGGUGGGGAGCAAACAGCAUUAGAUACCCUGGUAGUCCACCCACGUAAACGUUGGGAACUAGUUGUGGGGUCCAUUCCACGGAUUCCGUGACGCAGCUAACGCAUUAAGUUCCCCGCCUGGGGAGUACGGCCGCAAGGCUAAAACUCAAAGGAAUUGACGGGGACCCGCACAAGCGGCGGAGCAUGCGGAUUAAUUUGAUGCAACGCGAAGAACCUUACCAAGGCUUGACAUAUACGAGAACGGGCCAGAAAUGGUCAACUCUUUGGACACUCGUAAACAGGUGGUGCAUGGUUGUCGUCAGCUCGUGUCGUGAGAUGUUGGGUUAAGUCCCGCAACGAGCGCAACCCUCGUUCUAUGUUGCCAGCACGUAAUGGUGGGAACUCAUGGGAUACUGCCGGGGUCAACUCGGAGGAAGGUGGGGAUGACGUCAAAUCAUCAUGCCCCUUAUGUCUUGGGCUUCACGCAUGCUACAAUGGCCGGUACAAAGGGGUGCAAUACCGUGAGGUGGAGCGAAUCCCAAAAAACCGGUCCCAGUUUGGAUUGAGGUGUGCAACUCGACCUCAUGAAGUCGGAGUCGCUAGUAAUCGCAGAUCAGCAACGCUGCGGUGAAUACGUUCCCGGGUCUUGUACACACCGCCCGUCAAGUCAUGAAAGUCGGUAACACCUGAAGCCGGUGGCCUAACCCUUGUGGAGGCAGCCGUCGAAAGGGGAUCCAGUUUG